Picea glauca (white spruce) is the source of this 46-nucleotide non-coding RNA. Lineage: Eukaryota; Viridiplantae; Streptophyta; Pinopsida; Pinales; Pinaceae. The record is from Rfam.
GUAACGGUGUCUUUAGACACCACAUUUUCAUUCUUUGAAAUUUUAU